GAUGAACGCUGGCGGCGUGCCUAAUACAUGCAAGUCGAGCGAACAGACGAGGAGCUUGCUCCUCUGACGUUAGCGGCGGACGGGUGAGUAACACGUGGAUAACCUACCUAUAAGACUGGGAUAACUUCGGGAAACCGGAGCUAAUACCGGAUAAUAUAUUGAACCGCAUGGUUCAAUAGUGAAAGACGGUUUUGCUGUCACUUAUAGAUGGAUCCGCGCCGCAUUAGCUAGUUGGUAAGGUAACGGCUUACCAAGGCAACGAUGCGUAGCCGACCUGAGAGGGGGGUGGGCCCGACUGGAACUGAGACGCGGUCCAGACUCCUACGGGAGGCAGCAGUAGGGAAUCUUCCGCAAUGGGCGAAAGCCUGACGGAGCAACGCCGCGUGAGUGAUGAAGGUCCUCGGAUCGUAAAACUCUGUUAUUAGGGAAGAACAAAUGUGUAAGUAACUAUGCACGUCUUGACGGUACCUAAUCAGAAAGCCACGGCUAACUACGUG
Molecule: ribosomal RNA, 497 nt
Filed under: uncultured bacterium
Lineage: Bacteria
Description: partial 16S ribosomal RNA
Rfam family: Bacterial small subunit ribosomal RNA
Source: RNAcentral